UUGAUGGCGACCGGCGCACGGGUGAGUAACACGUAUCCAACCUGCCCUUUACUCGGGGAUAGCCUUUCGAAAGAAAGAUUAAUACCCGAUAGUAUAAUGAUUCCGCAUGGUUUCAUUAUUAAAGGAUUCCGGUAAAGGAUGGGGAUGCGUUCCAUUAGGUUGUUGGUGAGGUAACGGCUCACCAAGCUUUCGAUGGAUAGGGGUUCUGAGAGGAAGGUCCCCCACAUUGGAACUGAGACACGGUCCAAACUCCUACGGGAGGCAGCAUG
Molecule: ribosomal RNA, 269 nt
Filed under: uncultured bacterium
Lineage: Bacteria
Description: partial 16S ribosomal RNA
Rfam family: Bacterial small subunit ribosomal RNA
Source: RNAcentral